This 253-nucleotide ribosomal RNA is filed under the name uncultured bacterium. RNAcentral describes it as "partial 16S ribosomal RNA". It matches the Rfam family "Bacterial small subunit ribosomal RNA", at positions 524 to 776 of the family's 1533-position model. The record is from RNAcentral.
UACGGGGGGGGUAAGCGUUGUUCGGAAUUACUGGGCGUAAAGGGCUCGUAGGCGGCCAACUAAGUCAGACGUGAAAUCCCUCAGCUUAACUGGGGAACUGCGUCUGAUACUGGAUGGCUUGGAUCCGGGAGAGGGAUGCGGAAUUCCAGGUGUAGCGGUGAAGUGCGUAGAUAUCUGGAGGAACACCGGUGGCGAAGGCGGCAUCCUGGACCGGUAUUGACGCUGAGGAGCGAAAGCCAGGGGAGCAAACGGG